AAGGCUAACCAUACUUCAAACUUUCCUAAUCAUGACUUUUACCGCCACAGAACUAAUCUCCUUCUACAUCCUAUUUGAAGCCACAUUAGUUCCAACACUAAUUAUCAUCACCCGCUGAGGCAACCAAACAGAACGCCUGAACGCAGGCCUCUACUUCCUAUUCUACACACUAAUAGGUUCCCUCCCACUCUUAGUUGCACUAAUCUCUAUCCAAAACCUAACAGGCUCACUAAACUUCCUAUUAAUUCAAUACUGAAACCAAGCACUACCCCACUCUUGAUCCAAUAUUUUCCUAUGACUAGCAUGUAUAAUAGCAUUCAUAGUCAAAAUACCCCUAUAUGGUCUUCACCUCUGACUCCCAAAAGCCCAUGUAGAAGCCCCAAUUGCCGGAUCCAUAGUGCUAGCAGCCAUUCUACUAAAACUAGGAGGCUAUGGAAUACUACGAAUUACAACAAUACUAAACCCCCAAACUAGCUUUAUAGCCUACCCCUUCCUCAUACUAUCCCUGUGAGGAAUAAUCAUAACUAGUUCCAUCUGCUUGCGACAAACCGAUCUAAAAUCACUUAUUGCAUACUCCUCUGUCAGCCACAUAGCCCUAGUAAUCGUAGCCGUCCUCAUCCAAACACCAUGAAGUUAUAUAGGAGCUACAGCCCUAAUAAUCGCUCACGGCCUUACAUCAUCAAUACUAUUCUGCCUGGCAAACUCAAAUUACGAACGUACCCAUAGCCGAACUAUAAUCCUAGCCCGUGGGCUUCAAACACUUCUUCCCCUUAUAGCAGCCUGAUGACUAUUAGCCAGCCUAACCAACCUGGCCCUCCCUCCCAGCAUUAACCUAAUUGGAGAGCUAUUCGUAGUAAUAUCAUCAUUCUCAUGAUCAAAUAUUACCAUUAUCCUAAUAGGAGCCAAUACUAAUCACAACACAACGAGGGAAAUACACACACCAUAUCAACAGCAUUAAACCUUCAUUUACAUGAGAAAACGCACUCAUGGCCCUCCACAUGACUCCCCUACUACUCCUGUCACUUAACCCUAAAAUUAUCCUAGGCUUUACGUACUGUAAAUAUAGUUUAACAAAAACACUAGAUUGUGGAUCUAGAAACAGAAACUCAAUAUUUCUUAUUUACCGAGAAAGUAUGCAAGAACUGCUAAUUCAUGCCCCCAUGUCCAACAAACAUGGCUCUCUCAAACUUUUAAAGGAUAGGAGCUAUCCGUUGGUCUUAGGAACCAAAAAAUUGGUGCAACUCCAAAUAAAAGUAACUGUGCUGUCCCACUCUUAG
RNAcentral lists this long non-coding RNA (1277 nucleotides) under Equus caballus (horse). Its description in RNAcentral is "lncRNA (ENSECAG00000029274.2)". The stretch from base 1057 to 1125 matches the Rfam family "tRNA". Lineage: Eukaryota; Metazoa; Chordata; Mammalia; Perissodactyla; Equidae. The record is from RNAcentral.